GACGAACGCUGGCGGCGUGCCUAAUACAUGCAAGUAGAACGCACAGUUUAUACCUUAGCUUGCUACACCAUAGACUGUCAGUUGCGAACGGGGGAGUAACGCGUAGGUAACCUGCCUGGUAGCGGGGGAUAACUAUUGGUAACGCUAGCUAAUACCGCAUAAUAUUUAUUAUUGCAUGAUAAUUGAUUGAAAGCUGCUAUUGCAUCACUACCAGAUGGACCUGCGCUGUAUUAGCUAGUAGGUGAGGUAACGGCUCACCUAGGCGACGAUACAUAGCCGAAAUGAGAGGGUGAGGGGCCGCACUGAGACUGAGACACGGCCCAGACUGCUAGGGGAAGCAGCAGUAGGGAAUCUUGGGCAAUGGACGAAAGUCUGACCGAGAAGGGCCGCAUGAGUGAGGAAGGAUGUCGGAUCGUAAAGCUCGGUUGUAGGGGAAGAACGCGUGUGAGAGUGGAAAGUACACAGUGUGACGGUAUCUUACAAGAAAGGAACGGCUAACUACGUG
RNAcentral lists this ribosomal RNA (505 nucleotides) under uncultured bacterium. RNAcentral's name for it is "partial 16S ribosomal RNA". It matches the Rfam family "Bacterial small subunit ribosomal RNA", at positions 28 to 507 of the family's 1533-position model. The record is from RNAcentral.